ACUCCUACGGGAGGCAGCAGUGGGGAAUAUUGCACAAUGGGGAAACCCUGAUCCAGCCAUGCCGCGUGAGUGAUGAAGGCCUUAAGGGUCGUAAAGCUCUUUCGCCUGUGAUGAUAAUGACAGUAGCAGGUAAAGAAACCCGGCUAACUCCGUGCCAGCAGCCGCGGUAAUACGGAGGGGUUAGCGUUGUUUCGGAAUUACUGGGGCGUAAAGCGCGCGUAGGCGGAUUAGUCAGUUAGAGGUGAAAUCCCAGGGCUCAACCCUGGAACUGCCUUUAAUACUGCUAGUCUUGAGUUCGAGAGAGGUGAGUGGAAUUCCGAGUGUAGAGGUGAAAUUCGUAGAUAUUCGGAGGAACACCAGUGGCGAAGGCGGCUCACUGGCUCGAUACUGACGCUGAGGUGCGAAAGUGUGGGGAGCGAAACAGGAUUAGAUACCCUGGUAGCGACUGA
Molecule: ribosomal RNA, 449 nt
Filed under: uncultured bacterium
Lineage: Bacteria
Description: bacterial SSU rRNA
Rfam family: Bacterial small subunit ribosomal RNA
Source: RNAcentral